GUGUCAGCCGCCGCGGUAAUACGGAGGGGGCUAGCGUUGUUCGGAAUUACUGGGCGUAAAGCGCACGCAGGCGGUGCGGUCAGUUGGACGUGAAAUCCCAGGGCUCAACCCUGGAAUUGCAUUCGAUACUGACGCGCUGGAGGACGGAAGAGGAGAGUGGAAUUCCCAGUGUAGAGGUGAAAUUCGUAGAUAUUGGGAAGAACACCAGUGGCGAAGGCGGCUCUCUGGUCCGUUUCUGACGCUCAUGUGCGAAAGCGUGGGGAGCAAACAGGAUUAGAUACCCUGGUAGUCCACGCCGUAAACGAUGUCAGCUAGACGUUGGGGAGCAUGCUCUUCAGUGUCGCAGCUAACGCAUUAAGCUGACCGCCUGGGGAGUACGGUCGCAAGAUUAAAACUUAAAUGAAUUGACGGGG
Molecule: ribosomal RNA, 413 nt
Filed under: uncultured prokaryote
Description: bacterial SSU rRNA
Rfam family: Bacterial small subunit ribosomal RNA
Source: RNAcentral